AGAGUUUGAUCCUGGCUCAGGAUGAACGCUGGCGGCGUGCUUAACACAUGCAAGUCGAACGAAGCAUUUUAUCACGAUCCCUUCGGGGUGACGAUUUACUGACUGAGUGGCGGACGGGUGAGUAACGCGUGGGUAACCUGCCUUGUACAGGGGGACAACAGUUGGAAACGACUGCUAAUACCGCUAAGCGCACGAUGUCGCAUGACAAAGUGUGAAAAGAUUUAUCGGUACGAGAUGGACCCGCGUCUGAUUACCUCGUUGGUGAGGUAACGGCCCACCAUGGCGACGAUCAGUAGCCGACCUGAGAGGGUGACCGGCCACAUUGGGACUGAGACACGGCCCAUACUCCUACGGGAGGCAGCAGUGGGGAAUAUUGCACAAUGGGCGAAAGCCUGAUGCAGCGACGCCGCGUGAGCGAAGAAGUAUUUCGGUAUGUAAAGCUCUAUCAGCAGGGAAGAUAAUGACGGUACCUGACUAAAAAGCACCGGCUAAAUACGUGCCAGCAGCCGCGGUAAUACGUAUGGUGCAGUAUUGCAUUGAAAACUGUAGGACUAGAGUGUCGGAGGGGUAAGUGGAAUUCCUAGUGUAGCGGUGAAAUGCGUAAAUAUUAGGAGGAACACCAGUGGCGAAGGCGGCUUACUGGACGAUUACUGACGCUAAGGCUCGAAAGCGUGGGGAGCAAACAGGAUUAAAUACCCUGGUAGUCCACGCCGUAAACAAUAAAGACUAGGUGUUGGCUUCUAUAGGGAGUCGGUGCCGCAGCAAACGCAAUAAGUAUUCCACCUGGGGAGUACGUUCGCAAGAAUGAAACUCAAAGGAAUUGACGGGGACCCGCACAAGCGGUGGAGCAUGUGGUUUAAUUGGAAGCAACGCGAAGAACCUUACCAAAUCUUGACAUCCCACUGACAAAGUAUGUAAUGUACUCUUCCUUCGGGACAGUGGUGACAGGUGGUGCAUGGUGUCGUCAGCUCGUGUCGUGAGAUGUUGGGUUAAGUCCCGCAACGAGCGCAACCCUUAUCUUUAGUAGCCAGCAUUUUAAGAUGGGCACUCGAGAGAGACUGCCCGGGUGAACCGGGAGGAAGGUGGGGACGACGUCAAAUCAUCAUGCCCCUUAUGAUUUGGGCUACACACAUGGUACAAUGGCGUAAACAAAGGGAAGCAAGUGGGUGACCAUGAGCAAAUUUCAAAAAUAACGUCUCAGUUCGGAUUGUAGUCUGCAACUGGACUACAGGAAGCAGGAAUCGCUCGUAAUCGCGAAUCAGAAUGUCGCGGCGAAUACGUUCCCGGGUGUGGUACACACCGCCCGUCACACCAUGGGAGUUGGGAAUGCCCGAAGUGUGUGACCCAACCGAAAGGAGGGAGCAGCCGAAGGCAGGCUCGAUAACUGGGGUGAAGUCGUAACAAGGUAGCCGUAUCGGAAGGUGCGGCUGGAUCACCUCCUU
Molecule: ribosomal RNA, 1442 nt
Filed under: uncultured Lachnospiraceae bacterium
Lineage: Bacteria; Bacillati; Bacillota; Clostridia; Lachnospirales; Lachnospiraceae
Description: partial 16S ribosomal RNA
Rfam family: Bacterial small subunit ribosomal RNA
Source: RNAcentral